Molecule: transfer RNA, 72 nt
Filed under: Candidatus Pacearchaeota archaeon
Lineage: Archaea; Nanobdellati
Description: tRNA-Arg
Rfam family: tRNA
About the family: Transfer RNA (tRNA) molecules are approximately 80 nucleotides in length.
Source: RNAcentral
GCCCUCAUAGUUUAUCGGAUAGAACGUGACCUUGCGGAGGUCAAGAGCGAGGUUCAAUUCCUCGUGGGGGCA